UACGGAAGGCAGCAGUGGGGAAUAUUGCACAAUGGGCGCAAGCCUGAUGCAGCCAUGCCGCGUGUAUGAAGAAGGCCUUCGGGUUGUAAAGUACUUUCAGUCGUGAGGAAGGUGUUAAGGUUAAUAACCUUAGCAAUUGACGUUAGCGACAGAAGAAGCACCGGCUAACUCCGUGCCAGCAGCCGCGGUAAUACGGAGGGUGCGAGCGUUAAUCGGAAUUACUGGGCGUAAAGGGCACGCAGGCGGUUAAUUAAGUUGGAUGUGAAAUCCCCGGGCUUAACCUGGGAAUGGCAUUCAAGACUGGUUAGCUAGAGUCUUGUAGAGGGGGUAGAAUUCCAUGUGUAGCGGUGAAAUGCGUAGAGAUGUGGAGGAAUACCGGUGGCGAAGGCGGCCCCUGGACAAAGACUGACGCUCAUGUGCGGAAGCGUGGGGAGCAAACG
This 440-nucleotide ribosomal RNA is filed under the name uncultured bacterium. RNAcentral describes it as "bacterial SSU rRNA". It matches the Rfam family "Bacterial small subunit ribosomal RNA", at positions 340 to 774 of the family's 1533-position model. The record is from RNAcentral.